This 462-nucleotide ribosomal RNA is filed under the name uncultured bacterium. Its description in RNAcentral is "partial 16S ribosomal RNA". It matches the Rfam family "Bacterial small subunit ribosomal RNA", at positions 28 to 507 of the family's 1533-position model. The record is from RNAcentral.
GACGAACGCUGGCGGCGUGCUUAACACAUGCAAGUCGAACGGUAAGGCCUUUCGGGGUACACGAGUGGCGAACGGGUGAGUAACACGUGGGUGAUCUGCCCUGCACUUCGGGAUAAGCCCGGGAAACUGGGUCUAAUACCUGAUAGGACUGCGCGGUGCAUGCCGUGUGGUGGAAAGAUUUAUCGGUGCAGGAUGGGCCCGCGGCCUAUCAGCUUGUUGGUGGGGUAAUGGCCUACCAAGGCGACGACGGGUAGCCGGCCUGAGAGGGCGACCGGCCACACUGGGACUGAGACACGGCCCAGACUCCUACGGGAGGCAGCAGUGGGGAAUAUUGCACAAUGGGCGCAAGCCUGAUGCAGCGACGCCGCGUGAGGGAUGACGGCCUUCGGGUUGUAAACCUCUUUCAGCAGGGACGAAGCGUGAGUGACGGUACCUGCAGAAGAAGCACCGGCCAACUACGUG